GUAGGGAAUCUUCCACAAUGGACGAAAGUCUGAUGGAGCAACGCCGCGUGAGUGAAGAAGGUCUUCGGAUCGUAAAACUCUGUUGUUAGAGAAGAACGUGCGUGAUAGUAACUGAUCAUGUAAUGACGGUAUCUAACCAGAAAGCCACGGCUAACUACGUGCCAGCAGCCGCGGUAAUACGUAGGUGGCAAGCGUUGUCCGGAUUUAUUGGGCGUAAAGGGAACGCAGGCGGUUUUUUAAGUCUGAUGUGAAAGCCUUCGGCUUAACCGAAGAAUAGCAUUGGAAACUGGAAGACUUGAGUGCAGAAGAGGAGAGUGGAAUUCCAUGUGUAGCGGUGAAAUGCGUAGAUAUAUGGAGGAACACCAGUGGCGAAGGCGGGUUCCUGGCCCAUGACUGACGCUGAGGUGCGAAAGCAUGGGGAGCAAACAGGAUUAGAUACCCGAGUAGUCC
This 450-nucleotide ribosomal RNA is filed under the name uncultured bacterium. RNAcentral describes it as "partial 16S ribosomal RNA". It matches the Rfam family "Bacterial small subunit ribosomal RNA", at positions 354 to 796 of the family's 1533-position model. The record is from RNAcentral.